Molecule: ribosomal RNA, 332 nt
Filed under: uncultured bacterium
Lineage: Bacteria
Description: bacterial SSU rRNA
Rfam family: Bacterial small subunit ribosomal RNA
Source: RNAcentral
AGUGUAGGUGGUUUUUCAAGUCGGAUGUGAAAUUUCCCGGCUCAACUGGGAAGGGUCAUUCGAUACUGUUAAACUGGAGGGCAGUAGAGGGAGGUGGAAUUCCCGGUGUAGUGGUGAAAUGCGUAGAUAUCGGGAGGAACACCAGUGGCGAAAGCGGCCUCCUGGACUGUACCUGACACUGAGGCUCUAAAGCGUGGGGAGCAAACAGGAUUAGAUACCCUGGUAGUCCACGCCAUAAACAAUGGAUACUAGGUAUGGGGGGUAUCGACCCCCUCCGUGCCAAAGUUAACACCUUAAGUAUCCCGCCUGGGGAGUACGGUCGCAAGACUAAA